AGUCUUUGGUGACCUUGUUGGGAAAAAAUUGGCUAAAAUGCGCCUCAGCUUCCUCGAUCUGCACAAUCUUCUCUCCAGUUGGGUUACAACAACUCGGCGGAAGAAGGCUCCAGAUAUGUCCUGGCAGCCAACUGAAUUGCCGAAAGGAAGAUCUCAUCUAUGGCCUACCUUUGUGUUGGAAGUGGGAUAUACAGAGACUGAAGCACAGCUUGAACGUGAUGCGAGAUGGUGACUGGAACAGUCCAAUGGAGAUGUGGGCAUUGUGAUUACAAUCGACAUCGAGAUGGAUAAAGGUAGACUUCUCAUUGGAAAAUGGGAAAUGGGAGCAUCAACAAGACCAGCAAGACAAAAUAUGUAUCGGGGAUGUAUUCCACAGCUCAUUGAAACUACCUGCAUUCUGCGAAUCGCCGAUUCAAAUAUUUGGGAGGCGGACGAUGCUGUUCGUCUUCCAUUUGAGAAGAUAUUCUUGCGGACACCUUCAUCUCGAGAGUCAGAUUUGGUUUUAACUCGAAAGAACCUACAGCAACUAGCUGCAAUGGUGUGGAGGGACCCGAGAUGCUCUGAAACGGCAUAGGAGAAAGAGGAGUAUACUUACGAUGGCAAUUGGCAGUGUUCUCUAUAAGGUUAUUUCA
This 632-nucleotide small RNA is filed under the name Histoplasma capsulatum var. duboisii H88. RNAcentral describes it as "Histoplasma capsulatum H88 hypothetical RNA". The record is from RNAcentral. Lineage: Eukaryota; Fungi; Ascomycota; Eurotiomycetes; Onygenales; Ajellomycetaceae.